This 492-nucleotide ribosomal RNA is filed under the name uncultured bacterium. RNAcentral describes it as "partial 16S ribosomal RNA". It matches the Rfam family "Bacterial small subunit ribosomal RNA", at positions 29 to 507 of the family's 1533-position model. The record is from RNAcentral.
AGUGAACGCUGGCGGUAGGCCUAACACAUGCAAGUCGAACGGCAGCACAGUAGGAGCUUGCUCUUACGGGUGGCGAGUGGCGGACGGGUGAGGAAUACAUCGGAAUCUACUUUUUCGUGGGGGAUAACGCAGGGAAACUUACGCUAAUACCGCAUACGACCUACGGGUGAAAGCAGGGGAUCUUCGGACCUUGCGCGAUUGAAUGAGCCGAUGUCGGAUUAGCUAGUUGGCGGGGUAAAGGCCCACCAAGGCGACGAUCCGUAGCUGGUCUGAGAGGAUGAUCAACCACACUGGAACUGAGACACGGUCCAGACUCCUACGGGAGGCAGCAGUGGGGAAUAUUGGACAAUGGGCGCAAGCCUGAUCCAGCCAUACCGCGUGGGUGAAGAAGGCCUUCGGGUUGUAAAGCCCUUUUGUUGGGAAAGAAAAGCAGCAGGUUAAUACCCCGCUGUUCUGACGGUACCCAAAGAAUAAGCACCGGCUAACUUCGUG